UUAGGUGAACCUGCGGAAGGAUCAUUACCA
This 30-nucleotide ribosomal RNA is filed under the name Morchella semilibera. RNAcentral describes it as "partial 18S ribosomal RNA". Lineage: Eukaryota; Fungi; Ascomycota; Pezizomycetes; Pezizales; Morchellaceae. The record is from RNAcentral.